AAUCCUGCCAGGAUUCUAGAAUAUAAUGUUAUGCCUUUAAUGAUGCAAAUUAAUAAACAACUGAAAGAUAUGAGAACAGCAGAGAUAUCAUGGACAGGUAGAAUCAAUGUUGUAAAGGCUUACUUGAUCCCCAAAUGGAGCUAUGUAUUCCGUAUGUUACCAUUGAAAAUGCCUAAACCAUGGCUCAUGAUGAUUCAAUCAGCCUUAGACAAAUAUAUAUGGUUGGGGAAAAAACCUAGGGUUAGCAAAAAAAAUUUGAACCUAAAGCCUAAAUUAGGAGGGAUGGGAGUUCUCAACAUUACAGAUAUAUAUGAAUCUUGCUCAUUGGCACAUAUUAUAUCUUCUAUGAAAGAGAGCUCUAGGGGAGAAUCAUGGGCAAAGAUUGAGGCUAAAAAAGUGGAAGUUCCGGAUUUAAUGGCUCUAUUUUGGAAUAUACACAAGGGUGAGAGAGAUGAU
Pelobates cultripes (western spadefoot toad) is the source of this 456-nucleotide non-coding RNA. NCBI's taxonomy places the organism in Eukaryota, Metazoa, Chordata, Amphibia, Anura, Pelobatidae. The record is from the annotation of a GenBank genome assembly.